CCCAUCGCGGCGGAGGGAUCCCGCCGCCUCCCGCAGCCUCCUCCCCCUUCUGCUUCUGCUUCCCCCCCCGUUCCCUUUCCCCCUUUCCCCUCUCUCUCCUGCAAGAAAAUAAUUUGACAGCGAUUUGCUGACACCGGGAAUUUUUUUUUUUUUUUUCCCCCUCCUUCUUCUUCUUUGCAUCACGGACUCGGCAAAGGCAGCGCGGCGGGCGGGGGAGGCCGUGCCGGAGGAUGAGCGCCGUACUGUAAGUGAAGUAGGACCGAGCCCGGGCAGCUCUGUAAUAAAUUAAUAUCGCAAUUGGUCCCUCCUCGCCGACACCGACAUAAGCCCCGCGCCCGGCCCCGCCGCUCCCCGCGCCCGGCCCCCGCGCCUGCACUUGUUGCAGACUUCACGCCAGUUCAGCAAGAAAAUGGUUGCUGUCUUUCCCCUCCCUCCC
RNAcentral lists this long non-coding RNA (436 nucleotides) under Aquila chrysaetos chrysaetos. Its description in RNAcentral is "lncRNA (ENSACCG00020009171.1)". The record is from RNAcentral. Lineage: Eukaryota; Metazoa; Chordata; Aves; Accipitriformes; Accipitridae.